CACAUGCUCUUUGAGAAACAAUUUGCAUUUUACAUGCCAUGCUCAUGCUCAUGAGUUUGGUUUUUAUUUUCUGUUUCAAGUUUUGAAUGUUCAAAUGCACACAACAGGAUGUGGUAUCUGAGCAAUGAGUAGUCAGGCAUGCUAUCUCUCACUAAAGUGUUCAGGGCAAUCCUUCCUGUACGGAAAAACAAAACUGUACUGUAAGACCAGUUUUUAACUUCAGUUCCUAAAGAAAAGCACCAACAUGUAAUCUUUUACACAGUACAUAUGCUAUAAUGAAAAGAAAUCAUAGGCUGUGAAUUCUCUUGGGCUAAAAAUGGCCUAUAAUGCUACAUUUCCAUAAGUAAUGUUCACGUGAAAAAUCUUGCUGAAAUAUAUUUAUUUAUUUGUUUGUUUACAGAUUUAUAGAUUAAGAUGUAUAUGUUGGGUCUAAAGCAGACUGAUUUAACUGGUGCAUAUAUAUUAUAUGUCAUCAUAAAUAUAUAUAUAUAUAUCGAUAUAUCUAUUUCACAGCCAGUUCAAAGCAUUGCUUUAUCUCCACCCUCUUUUUCUUCUUUUGCUUUCAGCACAGCACGCCUAUGUUUUCUCCUGCCAGCUCAUAUAGGCUAAAGAACAAACAAGUAACGACCCUACGAUACAGAUGUAGUGGGGUUUUCUCAGAUGAAAUAAUUCACCUUUGUUAAAAGUGAUGAUGUCGGACACAAAUGAUGGAGGCAGCAAUUUAACGAUCUUCAUUCUCUGCUUCAUCCUGGUCGUCCUUGUUCUUCUCCUGUUGUACCUCUACAAGCGACUGAACAAUGAAACAAAGGAUGAAUAUACCAUCCAGCGGCUUGUCUUCAGUGAGGGAGGCCUUCGUGAUCGUGUGAGGCAAGGCAUUGCAGAGGUCCAGACCAGGAUAGGUGACCUGCAUAAGGUCUCAACCCCUUGAUGAAGAGCAAGCUUUGAGCAAUAAUGAAGAUGGGAAUAGUGGCAGAGAAGAAGAACGAGACGAAGAAGAAGAUGCAGGACAAGGUCAAAGGGAAAAUGAGAACAAGACAGAAGAGAAAGAAGAGGAACAUCAAGAUCAUGAUUCAUCAGACGACUAUUCCAGCAUUGACCUAAGGGAGAGAGUAAAGCAGAAUAACAGCAAUGAAGAGGAAAUGAAAGAAGAUGAACAAGAGAAACAAGAGGUGGCAAAAGAUGAAGGAAAAAGAGAUGACAAUAAACAAGAGGAAGAUGUGAAGAAUGAAGAAAGGGUUGGCUUACUUGUAGACUUGAAGGCAUUCUCUGGCAGUGCCAUUUGGUCUGAGGAGAAAAAGGAAGAGACUAAUGUGACAGCUUUGUGAAAUAUAGAAGGCUUUAGCCUAAAUAUGAGGCUCAUUAGAAGAAAAGUCUAGACUUGACGAUGUUUGUCUUGCGAUGAGUGAUUUACCUUUGUCAUUCUUAAAAACCUGAUGCAUCCAUAAUAUCCAUAAGAUAGUUUAUUAUUUUUCUUAUCCAUGGCUUAUUUUAUUAGCAUGUUUUCUGUAAUGGCUGACUUUUUUGUUAUUAGAAUAUUUUUUUCAUAAAAACUGUACAUUUACUUCAAAAUAAAUACCAUUAAAUCAUUCAUUUUGAUUUUUUUUUUAAUGCUAUGAAGCUUCAGACUAAAAUAAAGGCCUAGCGUUUAGCCAUAUUAUUCCCCAAAUGGAAACUGAAUACACGACCAUCUCUUGUUAAUGUUGAUCAGUUUAUUUGCUUGCUUUUGUGCCACACAACAUAUGAACAACGCACAAUAAAAUACAUGCAUGUAGUAUGAUAGAAUAUAAUAGGAUCAACUAUUUAUUGAUGUCAGUAAGCUAUACGGUCGAUGAAAAUAAAAACACCAUUUUAAAAAUUGCAGUGUGUAUUGCAAAUAUGUCACAAAAAAUGUUCUUUGAUCUCCAUUUUGUUCAGUGCAAGUGUUUCAGCAUUUAAAAAGUGUCCUCUAAACUAAUUUGAUUGGACCGAUUCUCGUGGAUAUAUAGAUAAAAGAAAAUAGCGUUGUUUGUAAAUUCUUAAUUCAUGAAAAGCAAAUUGC
Long non-coding RNA from Ictalurus punctatus (channel catfish), 2038 nucleotides. NCBI's taxonomy places the organism in Eukaryota, Metazoa, Chordata, Actinopteri, Siluriformes, Ictaluridae. The record is from Ensembl.